GAGAGAGAGAGAGAAAAAAAGUAAGAAAAAAAGUUAAUCUAAUAAAAUUGAGGGGGGGGGAGAGGGAAUGAUCCACUUCCAGGUGCUAGUGGAGAAUCCCACGCAUGCAGUGUGCAACUACCUCAAAAUAAAAAAUCGGUAGGGGCAAAGACAUAAAACAUCUGUCUAUGACUGAGAUGCAGAUGCAUUUCAAGAGGCACCACCUCCUGCAAAUUGGCAUGGCUUCUUAGGCUGGGACUGGUUGUGGCAGAAGCAGCAACAGUCCCCCUACUGCUGGAAGGGAGAAGAGAAAGACCACCCUAGAGCAGUAGGAUAUGACAACCAGGGACAAGGGCAGAGUGAGUGGCAAGCUUCCCUCUGUGAGGGAGAUCACCCAGCACCUGGGAGAUAUUCUGGCUCUCAAUGACCAGCCCUUCCUGAUGGUGGAGCAGGAAAGGUUUAAUCAUUUGAUGGUGCUGGUGACUCCCCACUACAAGGUCCCCUUGCAUACCACCUUCUCAAGGACGUUGGCGAUGUCCCUGUAUUGGGGCUGCAGGGAAUGUGUGGAGCAGUUGCUGGAUGGUGCCAGUUGGAUGUCCCUCUUCAAAAAAAAAGGAUGAGCUUGUUUGGGAUGCUUUAGCUGGAGAUCACAGAGUAAGGUUGGAUAUGAUGGCCCAUGAAGACCCUUUCAACUGUAUGGAUCUAUAAUUCUUCUUUGUUUUUAAGGUGGUGGAUGUUUUUUCCUGAGCAUCAGGUCCACAGAUAUGAUAUGGCUUAUUUUGUAUUUCAUCUUUUCACUCCGAUUCAAAUAGGAUACUGUGGCACUUACAAAGUUGCAGAAAACCUGAACAAAAAUGAAACUUUUGGGGAGGACAUGGAACACAUUUUCAUGAGCUAUUGCUCUGCUGUUCACCACAAAAAGCAAACUAGAAAGUGUUAGCCUGAGGUCCAACUGGUUCUGUUUAGAAACUUUGUUUUACAUAGCUUUGGGGUACACAUCAAGAAACAUAGGAAGUAACCUUGUAUGAUACCAUACUAUUAUACCAUCUGCAUUGUUCAUACUGACUAGCAGCAUCUCUCCAGGAAUGAAGAUAGGGGCUUACCCUAUGUGAAGUUGCCAGGAAUUAAACUGGAAAUCCUCAGUUAGCAUUUUGUGCUUGCUGAUUCCAUUUUUGUUUUUCCACAUAAGUUUCCCUGCAUCUUUGUAACAUGCAGCCAUUUUUCUUCUGCUCCCCAGUAUCUGCUCCAUUUGACUGAAUAUUAACAUGUAAUUGGGCCAUCACUUGCUUCCCAGCUGAGCCCAGCCAUGAAUGAAACAUGGAGCCCUCAUCAUUGAAAAGGCGAAAUAAACGGUUGCCUCUUUCCCUGCCUGCUGCAAGAAGGUGUUCCACGUUGCAAGUGUAAGAUUGAUAGAUCAAGAGGCAAGAAGGACUAGAGAAGUAAUAGAUGUCUCAUCUCUGGCUACAUUAAGGAAUGUAAAGUCAUCUAUGCAUUUGUUUUUUUCUUGAUACCCCAUAAAACAAAGCCCUUCUUUUUUAUUUUUGAUAUGGGAUAUGUUUUCUGUUACAUAUACUUCUGGAUUUCUGUGACUGCAUGAAGAAAAGACAUCCCAAAAGCACUGAGCCCCCUUUGUGUGCUUGACACCCCAUUUAAAAAUGGACAUGAUUUUUCAAGCAUUUUUUGCCCCUAACCAUGCAAAGGCCCUCCAAAAAUGUGGAAGUACAGGCAGUUACCCUCACUAUCCUACAAGCACCUCAAAUCCUUGCAUGCAUACCACAUUCCUUCUUUUCCCUUUGAGGUUAUUUCUUAUUGCCAUUUUGAGAUGAGGUAUAGAAGAAAUCCAAGGUAUUUCAGCUUGCUGUAUGCAUGUUGGGCAGUGGGGCCUAUAGUGUAGUCAGGAGGGGAAAUUCAUCCUUGCUUGAGCUGAAGGACUUUCAAUUUAAACAAUAAGAUCAAUGUUAUUUUAAUUGUCUGUAAAGCAAAGCAGUAAAGAGUCAGCAUAGUAUAGCAAUCUGUGUGUUGUACUAAGACUUUAGGAGACCAUGGUUUGAAGCUUACUUGACCAUGGAAACCCACUGAAUAACCUUGGACAAGUCUCACUUUCUCAGUUUCAAAGAAAGGCAAUGGCAAACCCCUUCUGAACAAAUCAUGUCAAGAAAUUCCAAUGAUAGAUUAAUCUUGAAGUCACUAUAAGUCCGAAAUGACUUGAAGGCACAUAGUAACAAAGCAAAGAAAUACAUAUUGUUUUUCGAUUCUUAUAGUCAAUGACAGCUGUGUGACUCUGAGAUCAGUGGAGUAGUGAAGCCACUCUGGAUUUUCAUCCAAAAAACUUUGGCAGAGUGCUGCACUCAACCUCCUGCUUUUCAGCAGGAAAGAAACAGCUAUGUUGGGAAGAAUGUAUGUUUCACAUACAUCUUAUACUCACAGGAUGAAUGUAAUUUUAGACAAUAUAUUUAAAUAAUUUUGUGCAUGCAACAAGGUCCAUGAACAUUGAAACACUGGAAAGCACCUCAGUCACCCGUGUGAACAAUUUGAGAUUUUAAAGUAUUCCAGAACUCUUAUUAAGGGAUACUCAAGCUCUACUACUUGCUGUGUCAAUGAGUUCCAGAAGACAACUGUGCAAUAUGCUUUCUUAAUUACAUUAAGUCACUUUAGCCUGUCCUGGCAUGGUUUUACAUAUUUUUUAAGUCAUUUAAAAUAUCCUCUUUUUAGGCCGUUGGGGCUUUCUUACUUUUGCUUUAACUAUGAUGAAAAAUUUCUGUACCUGGGGACAUUUUAUUGAGUUUUCUCUGUACCUUCUCCAAUUCUACCUUAAACUUGGGAGAGCAAACUGUUUCUAAAGGAUGAGGUUUUUUAAUCAUCUCAGAAGUGACUUGAGAACAUGAUACUCAGGGUCUGAAUACUCUGGUGAUUUAUAAAAUGACAUGAUAAUAUUUCCUUAAAUGCUGUUUAUCUUUCUUUAUAGUUUUCCAAUGAUGAAGACACUGGUUUUCUGUUUUCAAAAGGACACUUAAUUUUAGCUUUUCUGGGCACUAAAUCACAAGAUAUCUUUCUCUAAGGUUUUCUCACCUGUAAAAGAACUCAUGCUUGUUGUUUUGUUUUGUUUUUGUUUUGUUUUUUUUUAAAAAAACUGUAUAAUAAGCAGUUCUGCUGUUAUUAAUUUUGUGUGUUCAUUAAAAGGUGGCAGAUAAAGAUCAGUUAGCUUUCUUCAUUGUUUACUCUUUCAUCUGCCAUAAACAGACAAAUCACGAUGACUUUGAUAAGCAGAUGGAAAGAUGUCUGGUUUCAAUAGACCUUUUCUUCACCAUAAGUAUACAUGAUGACUUCUACCAUUGGUGUCAGAUAUGAGGAAUUCAUAUGUUGUGAAUUAUGGUAUGAACUGACUUUAGCCAAAUUUUCUGGACUAAUGUGGAGAUAGUAAUGCCCUACUUAUUCUUCAUACUAUCUACUCUUCUGAUGUUUCAAGACAGACCCCUUAAAGUGCCAGACCAGACUUUAAUAAAAGUAGAAUUUAUUAGUUCACAACAAAAGAGCCCAAAAACAAACUCAAAAAGGCUCAAAACAAUCUUCAGUGUGAAGCACAGUAUUUCCCACAGUUAAAGCAAAACCCAAACCCUGGAAAAUAACCCGGAUUUAACCGGAGUAUAAUCCGAAUCAAACUCCCAUCUUUGCAAAACAAUGGAAAAAGCACUCCAAUUCACAGCAGGACGCCAGCAGGCAGGAAGAGAUGAACAGCAGGGAGCCGAAGAUGUCUGGCAAAGUCAGUCAAACACAGUAUCCAAUCAGGAGAAGGCAGCAAACACGAGAAUCCAGUCCAGGUCACUCCCCGUGCGUAGAAUGCAGCAUGGCAGCUAAUGCACAAGAUCAACACAAGGCAGUCCAGGGAAAACCCUCACAGUUCCAACCCCCAUAGCCAAGAAUAAUCUGGAUUAAACUUACGUCCACAGCAGUUUUCCUAAACACGUCUUCCCAAACAGCUCUCAAGGACACACAAAUACCCAUCAACAUCUUGCCGACUGCAAAGGUGCCCCAUUUCCCAACCCCACUUUUAUUCACAAUUCCUCCUCAGAACUGGAAUCAGACAACGCCCCACCAGACCUCCUUUCAGCUAAAACCCCUUGCUGAGCCCUCCACUCUGUCUAUCUUUUAUCCAAACCCAUAACUCCCCAAGAUUCAGCCGGAUCCCCACUGUGCCAACCCUCGAACGUGUCGCUACUUGUGGGUUCUCUAAAGAUGUCCUGGAUCUCCCGCACCUUAGUCCAGUCCAUUACCUCAUCCUCAGAACUUGUCAUCCCAUCCUCCUGAUUCUCAACCCCAUCCUCCUCCUCAACUGAGUCAUUGUCAGUAGGCUCCAUAAGUCUCUCCCAGAUUUGCUUCCUUUGUCACUCCUCAUCGGAGUCUUGCUCACGAGUAGUCUUUCUUCCCCUUCUAGUACUCCUAGAAGUAUCACUAUUCAAAGACGCCAUCACAAAAUCUGAAUUUUGAAAUAAUUGAUUAUAGAGCAAAACAUAUAUAAAAAUGAAUGUAAGAAGACAAACUAAAACUAAAUAUGCAUAGGCUAAAGUGCAUUUGUUAAAAAAUUUAUUCAAAAGGUAAUACAUAAUUGCUGUACAGAUUUUCUUUUUUAAAAUAAAAAGCAUAUAUUAAUGUGGAAAUAGAAUGAUGAUGAUGAUAAUAAUAAUAAUAAUUUGAUUACCUGCCUCUCCUUGAAGCUCAAAAUGGGGUAGAACUGACACAGGAAGUUAAAAUGAUGGCAUUGCCCCUAAAUAAGAAUUCUGCCGUUCCCAAAUAUGAUAUUUCUUCAUUUUCCAAAUGUCUAGUAUUGCAGUAACUGAAACUGUAGUUGAGACUUUAGAAAACAGUUUAGGCACCUAGAGUUGCCAAAAGAAUGAGAGCAGAGCAAACAUAAGAAUUCUAGAUGUUUAUGAGUAUCAGAUUUUCACUACC
Anolis carolinensis (green anole) is the source of this 4926-nucleotide long non-coding RNA. RefSeq lists it as uncharacterized. The transcript is spliced from 3 exons. The record is from RefSeq and is a predicted model, not a curated record. Lineage: Eukaryota; Metazoa; Chordata; Lepidosauria; Squamata; Anolidae.